UAUAUUUACUUAUUGUUAGAUCAUUUAUAUAAAAUAUAUUCCUUAAAUAUUUGAGUAGGUAUUCAAUUUAGAAAUAUAUUACGAAUAAGAUGAAUUGAAAGAAAUUUUUUAAAAUUAAAUGUGAAAAUAUUCAAAGGGUUCAUAUACUCUAUUAAAUUAUUUUAUUAUCUGUUAUAAGGUGAUAGUGCAUAUGCAUUGAGGGGAUAUAUGCAGAAAGAGAGCUGAAGAACUGUAUUACUGAAGAAAUGUUUCAGAAUUAUCGGAAUAUGGAAACGCCACUUUCCAAUAUGUUUUAUGGUAUAAGACCAAAAUUGCAAACCACAAUGUCAGUUAUUGUUGCACAACAAUUUUGUUGUUUCAAUGUGCUACACAAUACAGCCAGAAUGAUACCUGAACAAGAGCUGCCGCCGUUAGAUGAAAUAAAUAUGGACCAAAUUAAUAAGAAGAGAAAUAAUAAAUUAUUUUGAAAGA
Long non-coding RNA from Sitophilus oryzae (rice weevil), 471 nucleotides. RefSeq lists it as uncharacterized. The transcript has 2 exons. NCBI's taxonomy places the organism in Eukaryota, Metazoa, Arthropoda, Insecta, Coleoptera, Curculionidae. The record is from RefSeq and is a predicted model, not a curated record.